AGAGUUGAUCCUGGCUCAGGAUGAACGCUAGCGGCAGGCUUAACACAUGCAAGUCGAGGGGCAACGCGAGUAGCAAUACUUGGCGGCGACCGGCGCAAGGGUGCGUAACGCGUGAGCAACAUGCCCGUAUCAGGGGGAUAAUCCAGGGAAACUUGGUCUAAUACCCCAUAGUAAUUUUUGUAAGGCAUCUUAUAAGAUUUAAAGCUUUGGUGGAUACGGAUUGGCUCGCGUGACAUUAGCUGGAUGGUAAGGUAACGGCUUACCAUGGCUAUGAUGUCUAGGGGUUCUGAGAGGAAGGUCCCCCACACUGGAACUGAGACACGGUCCAGACUCCUACGGGAGGCAGCAGUGAGGAAUAUUGGACAAUGGAUGGAAAUCUGAUCCAGCCAUGCCGCGUGAAGGAAGAAGGUCCUAUGGAUUGUAAACUUCUUUUGUAUGGGAGCAAUAAGGCCUACGAGUAGGUUGAUGAGAGUACCAUACGAAUAAGCACCGGCUAACUCCGUGCCAGCAGCGGC
Molecule: ribosomal RNA, 515 nt
Filed under: uncultured bacterium
Lineage: Bacteria
Description: bacterial SSU rRNA
Rfam family: Bacterial small subunit ribosomal RNA
Source: RNAcentral